This 445-nucleotide ribosomal RNA is filed under the name uncultured bacterium. RNAcentral describes it as "partial 16S ribosomal RNA". It matches the Rfam family "Bacterial small subunit ribosomal RNA", at positions 354 to 796 of the family's 1533-position model. The record is from RNAcentral.
GUGAGGAAUAUUGCGCAAUGGAGGCAACUCUGACGCAGCCAUGCCGCGUGCAGGAAGAAGGCGCUACGCGUUGUAAACUGCUUUUAACCGGGAAGAAACCCCAGGACGUGUCCUGGGUUGACGGUACCGGAGGAAUAAGCACCGGCUAACUUCGUGCCAGCAGCCGCGGUAAUACGAAGGGUGCAAGCGUUAUCCGGAUUCAUUGGGUUUAAAGGGUGCGUAGGCGGAGCGUUAAGUCAGUGGUGAAAUCCUGCAGCUUAACUGUAGACUUGCCAUUGAUACUGGCGCUCUUGAGUGCGCUUGAAGUGGGCGGAACGUGCCGUGUAGCGGUGAAAUGCUUAGAUAUGGCACAGAACACCAAUUGCGAAGGCAGCUCACUAAGGCGAUACUGACGCUGAGGCACGAAAGCGUGGGGAUCGAACAGGAUUAGAUACCCCUGUAGUCC